GGAAGGCAGCAGUGGGGAAUAUUGGACAAUGGGCGCAAGCCUGAUCCAGCCAUGCCGCGUGAGUGAUGAAGGCCCUAGGGUUGUAAAGCUCUUUCACACGGUGAAGAUAAUGACGGUAACCGGAGAAGAAG
RNAcentral lists this ribosomal RNA (131 nucleotides) under uncultured Hyphomicrobiales bacterium. RNAcentral's name for it is "uncultured Rhizobiales bacterium partial 16S ribosomal RNA". It matches the Rfam family "Bacterial small subunit ribosomal RNA", at positions 343 to 490 of the family's 1533-position model. The record is from RNAcentral. Lineage: Bacteria; Pseudomonadati; Pseudomonadota; Alphaproteobacteria; Hyphomicrobiales.